RNAcentral lists this ribosomal RNA (582 nucleotides) under uncultured bacterium. RNAcentral describes it as "bacterial SSU rRNA". It matches the Rfam family "Bacterial small subunit ribosomal RNA", at positions 8 to 620 of the family's 1533-position model. The record is from RNAcentral.
AGAGUUUGAUCCUGGCUCAGAAUCAACGCUGGCGGCGCGCCUAACACAUGCAAGUCGAACGAGAAAGCGGGAGCAAUCCCGCAAGUAAAGUGGCGUACGGGUGAGUAACACGUGGAUGAUCUGCCCUGGAGUGGGGAAUAACGCUGGGAAACCGGCGCUAAUACCGCAUAUUCCCGAGAGGGGAAAGCAGCAAUGCGCUCGAGGAGGAGUCCGCGGCCGAUUAGCUAGUUGGCAGGGUAAAAGCCUACCAAGGCUAUGAUCGGUAGCCGGCCUGAGAGGGCACACGGCCACACUAGCACUGAAACACGGGCCAGACUCCUACGGGAGGCAGCAGUGGGGAAUCUUGCACAAUGGGGGAAACCCUGAUGCAGCGACGCCGCGUGAGCGAUGAAGCCCUUCGGGGUGUAAAGCUCUUUCGGCAGGGAAGAUUAUGACGGUACCUGCAGAAGCAGCUGCGGCUAACUACGUGCCAGCAGCCGCGGUAAUACGUAGGCAGCAAGCGUUGUUCGGAGUUACUGGGCGUAAAGGGUGUGUAGGUGGCCUGUUAAGUUCCGUGUGAAAUCUCCCGGCUCAACCGGAGGG